UUAAACUGAAGAGUUUGAUCAUGGCUCAGAUUGAACGCUGGCGGUAUGCUUAACACAUGCAAGUCGAACGGUAGCAGGUCUUCGGAUGCUGACGAGUGGCGGACGGGUGAGUAACGCGUAGGAAUCUGCCUAUUAGUGGGGGACAACGUGUGGAAACGCACGCUAAUACCGCAUACGCCCUACGGGGGAAAGGAGGGGAUCUUCGGACCUUUCGCUAAUAGAUGAGCCUGCGUAGGAUUAGCUAGUUGGUAGGGUAAAGGCCUACCAAGGCGACGAUCCUUAGCUGUUCUGAGAGGAAGAUCAGCCACACUGGGACUGAGACACGGCCCAGACUCCUACGGGAGGCAGCAGUGGGGAAUAUUGGACAAUGGGCGAAAGCCUGAUCCAGCAAUACCGCGUGUGUGAAGAAGGCCUUAGGGUUGUAAAGCACUUUCAAUUGGGAGGAAAAAACAAGGGUCAAUACCCCUUGUCUUGACAUUACCUUUAGAAGAAGCACCGGCUAACUCCGUGCCAGCAGCCGCGGUAAUACGGAGGGUGCGAGCGUUAAUCGGAAUUACUGGGCGUAAAGAGUGCGUAGGCGGCUCGUUAAGUCAGAUGUGAAAGCCCUGGGCUCAACCUGGGAACUGCAUUUGAAACUGGCGAGCUAGAGUUGAGUAGAGGUAAGUGGAAUUUCAGGUGUAGCGGUGAAAUGCGUAGAUAUCUGAAGGAACACCAGUGGCGAAGGCGACUUACUGGACUCAAACUGACGCUGAGGUACGAAAGCGUGGGUAGCAAACAGGAUUAGAUACCCUGGUAGUCCACGCCGUAAACGAUGUCAACUAGCCGUUGGUCCUAUAUACAGGAUUAGUGGCGCAGCUAACGCAUUAAGUUGACCGCCUGGGGAGUACGGCCGCAAGGUUAAAACUCAAACGAAUUGAC
This 918-nucleotide ribosomal RNA is filed under the name Crenothrix sp. D3. RNAcentral's name for it is "bacterial SSU rRNA". It matches the Rfam family "Bacterial small subunit ribosomal RNA", at positions 1 to 914 of the family's 1533-position model. The record is from RNAcentral. Lineage: Bacteria; Pseudomonadati; Pseudomonadota; Gammaproteobacteria; Methylococcales; Crenotrichaceae.